UACAGAAUAUCUUGUGCUUGUAAAGUAGUUAACGAAGAUACGAAAUUUAUUCUCUAUAGAAAGGAAACGUUAUUUUCGAGAGAUAGAUCGAAACUUUCGCGCGUUUCUCGCGAGAAUAAUAUGUCUCAUAGAAUCAACGUGCGAAUCGUUCGAGCGAAAUUAAUGGCGAGGUUAUGAAAUGUGAUGAAUUUUAAACAGCAUGAAUCCGAAUUUGAUCGAAAUAUAUUAGCUGAGAGAAACAAAGUUGAAUCAAAGUUUCUAAUGAGAAGUCUUGACUCUGUUCGUAUUCGGAUUUCUCCUUGAAAAUAUAAAAUCGCUCGACAAGUCAGAAGUUAAUUACGGAAUCCUAACCUUCAGGUUAUUAUAACAAUUUUCUGAUCCUCAAAAAUGAAUCUUGAAAUGAAAGUGAGUAUUUUUGGAUUAUUUGUCAAAGUAUUCUAAUUACUUGUUGGACAACACGAUAAUGAGGAUAUUGGUAGUUCGAAAACGUUUAACCUUACUUCUAUAAUAUAUUGACUCGAAAAGUGAUAAUGAUACAAGUAUUGAUAAUGUGUAUCUUAAGAUUUUAUUUUAUUUCACACAUUUCUAACACAUGUUAAAACUCUUUAAAGAAUUCAGACUUAAACUUUGUUAUAUAUAUUCAUUUAAUUUACAACUGGUAAGUAAUAUAUUUAAUAUUCCUUUGAUUUGUAUUAGUUUUAAGUUUUGCUUAACAAUUUCAAUACAGCAUAGAACAAAUUGACCAUGUUACAGGAGAAUUGACAAUAUUAAUUCACUCUUUGAAUCGUGUACUCCUCAUUGACAUGAUUCCUCAAUUGCGAAAGAGAGCGAGACUAAACGCGAGAAACUAAAUUCGUGAAGUAGAGAUUCUGCAUUCGAUGAAAGGAGACUUCGACUUCUAUGGUGGCGAUAGUAGAAAUCAAGCCUGAUCAACGGGUUCUGAUGAGAAAUCACAAGACCUAAGUCUGGUGCUUCGGAUUUCUCCGCGGAAAUGUAAAGUAGCAGGUAAUCAAAAAAUUACUCGAAAAGGAAAUAUAUAUAAAUGAUACGUUUUUUGUAUGCGAAUUUUCAAAAAUGAAAGAACAUAUCAAAAUUUAAUACUUUUUUAAUAAUUGUUGUUCAUUCACAACCGAGCAAUGAAACAAAUAAGCAUCUUAUAUUGAACGUCUAUAGAAGAAAAUAUAAUGAAUAGAAAUAGAAAAUUAUUUUGAUAGAAAAUGAUUAAUUAUGAAAUGAGAGAGUUUGAAAGCAGUUAAUGAACAUAUGAAAAAAUAAAGAACGUGAAUUACUAAUUGAAGGAAAAAUUACUUCUGGUAGAGAAAUUAUGUAAUAUAAACUUCUGUUAUAUGAACAAUUAUACGAUUAUAUGAACGUGUUUGUUACCCAAUAUAUAAAUGAAAAGUUCAACUAUAAAUAUACAAAUAAUAAAACUUAUAUCUCAUGAUUGAUAUUACUUCGUAAGAUUAGCUGUGAGAAAUGGUUAUGCAAUUAUGUACGCAGUGUUGUUCAAUUUAUCGUGGUUUCCCGCGACUCGAAUCGAAAGGCAGUAGCUUCCGUAAGAGAGGAAGGCAAAUCUUGCCGCGGUGCGAGUUUUUUGCCAAAUUAAAGUCGUUAGAGGAUAAACGAGAGACUUGCUGGAACAGCCAAGUGGCAAGAAAUCCUCUUCGUGGAGGGUCUAAUCGCAAGGCGUGCGUUGAAGCUCGCGAUCCUACCGCCAUCUUCCAAGAAGGAAACGAAAAGAACAGAAUAUCUCGAAGAAAGCAAUUUCUCAGGACGCGAAAACGUAGCGGGAUCCAUUCGUCAAAGUUGAAGGCAACGACAUCGUCGAACAACGGUUCGAAUUUACGAGCUCCACGAAGCGCGAAUAGCGUCAAAGUUGCAGCUCGACGCGCCACCAAGGUAUACCGAGCAGGAAACUGGACUGUUCCACUGCUGAGCUUCUCCGGUUGAAGAAAUUCUUGGACACUUCCUGCUCUUCGAUCUCCGCGACUGAUAUGUGUUUCACGGACCACGUUAACCUUGAGGCCAUCCCGAGUUAAUGAGAAAACCGGAGAAGGAACGUUCGGUUUUACAGUUUUCGCAGAUUGAUUAGAGAUCCAAGCACAGAUCGUAAUUAUUAUCAAGACAACAAGAAAACAAUUAUAUUUUUUUGUUGGGAAGGAUAAGUGAUAAUUGAAAAUGUUAUAUAGGGAUGCUAUAAAAGCAAAGAAUGGAUGAAAUCAAGCAUCACUGUUCAGAAAACAAUAUCUUUUUCACUCGUUUCAUACGGUAGAGAUAAUUUAACCUAACUAAGCACAAUAUUUAAGCAUAAUAUUUAAGCAUAAUCCAUCAUUUUAUAUUAAUUCUUAAACUCGCAAUAUUCAAGUUUUUCAUUUUUCUUCUUUUUUUUUCUCUUUUUUAGAAAUUUUGCAAUGCCUAUACACAAACGGCCAUUCAUUCAUCAAGGACCAUUGUGGAAAUUUUCGUUUGCGCUUGAUUUUGUGAACACAAGGUUUAAUAUUUAAAGACGAGGGAAUACUUUCACUAUGUUUGUUUCUCGUAAGUAGCGGCUAUGUUAUUAUUUCACCGACGAGCCUUUGGCAUCCGCGUGAGAGUUAAAGCGUACUUAGGACCUCGUUCGAUCCCGUUGCUCUCGUCGAAAAAGCGAGAACUGGUGUCGACGAUCUCCUCCUCGGUCUACGAUGACCCGCUGAAUCUUUGGUUUCACGAACGAUCCAGUUACCGAGGAAUCGAGCCUCGUUCCCUUGUCUCGCAUCGGGGAAUAAAGUUCUAACCGAGGCUGAACGCGCUAGUGCCGUCAACUCCAUAGAAAGUUUCAUACACACUUUCACCGUUGGUGGAUCGGCGCGAAGCGCGUCAGGGUGUCUUGGUUUGGAGCUUUUACGGUUUCGAGAAGAAGGCAAACGCGAAUAUCGAGCUCCCGGUGUCCCCUUUGCGGUACGUUUCGUCUCCGUGCACUGGUAGUUUCGAAUGCUUCCCACGACCGAGGAUCAACCACAAACUUUGAAACGGGAGGGGUUGGUGUUCAAGAUCAACGACCCAAGGUCAAGAGGAGAGGUAGGGGAGUCGAGCAGAGCAUCAAGUGCUCGUUGCCCUCUGGUGUAGCGUGGCGGACCAGGAAAUCGGUGCCAACACCGGGAUCAGAGAGUCUGCAACGUCGUGCAACACAACCUUGUGUAUCCAUCUCGUCCUUUAAGGCAUCCAUUAGCUUCCUAACUGCUAAACACACCGCUCGGUCCGACGACCCCGUCCUGCUUCCUACCCACCGCACCGUCCGGCCUACGAGGAACCUCUUCUUCCACCUCUUCCCGAGAGGUUGCCUUUUUUAUUUUCCCUUCCUAUCCUCUUCCAUCCUUCUGCCAUCUCUUCCUCUACUCUUUCGUUUCCUUCUCCUUCUUCUCUACCCUCCACCAUCGUCCCCUUCGUCCCGAUACCGACGUUCGAGGGUCAUCGACAUCCGCGGCCGGAGACAUUGUACGCAACGUUGUUGCUCGGUUAUCGUGGUUGGCCGCGCACCUUGCGCGCGUUAACUUCGUCCCUCCUCGCGACACAUCCAGCAACACGGAGCCAGGAAUAUGUAUACGGCAAAACGUGCUAAUAUGCCGAGAGAACAAGAAAUUUCGCAACAAAGGAUCGUAGAAUGUAACUGGAGCGAAGUUGCACAAUGGAUUUGCAUCGUGGAGAGAGCAGUGAGACGGUCAGCCUAACUACCUAUCCGUUAAUUUCCUUAAUUGCCAGUCGGGUGUAAUUAACGACGCUCCGAUUUCCAUGAUAUACCCUCUAAUGAGAUAAAUUUAACCCUCGCGGGGAGAAUUAAUCGCGUGCUCCUCUCGACAGGCCAACUCGAGUUGGGGGUCUCAAGAUGGAGCAGGAUGCGUUUCGUGGAAACGACACUUGGAAAGACCAGUCGGUGACGCAUCCAUCGUCUUUCCCGGCCGAGCUAGAAGAGGGUCGAGUCAUCGAAGAAGCGAAAAAUCAUCUCGGCGAGCGUGAACGCGGUCAACAGAAACGCAUUAUUGCGCGAGCGAAGCCGACACGUUUGCAGUCUUCUCGUCGAUUGUCGCUCGUUAACGCCAUUGUGCCUUGGGGGGAGGGGACUUGGCGAGCGCACGCGUUACGCAAUAUACACGCACUUGAUACGGGCUGCGGCCGUCCAGGAUGAACCGAGAAAAAUACCGAGUGGAAUAUCGCGUCUCUCCGCCGUUGAAUAAGCGAGAAGAAAAUAUAUAUCGAUGCUUGUUUAAUUGCGUUCUUGGGAAGUUUUUUUAAACGGAUAUUAUUUAUUAAUUCCAAGUUCCACCUCAAGUUCAAGGCCGUACGAAAAGGUAAUGUCGCGAGGGAGCGGAUUUCGGGGGCAUCUCGUAGGGGAAAAUACUCGGUCGAUACGCCAUGUUCGUAUAUAUAUUUUUACAAUUUGUACGCGGCUGCAUUCCCGCAAAACCGCUUUGAAACGUUUCAUUCGAAAUCUUUCUGCGGUCGAGGACCGCAGAAAUUUUUGCCCCUACGCCGAUUGCGACAUUAACCACGACGAUGAUUCUCGAUUCUCCUAGGCUUCGUUUCGACGAGGGAGAUCGCGUGAAAUUUCGUUAAAUUAAUUACGUCACUAUCGUUCUUUUUCGCAUCUUUGUGUGCACGAAACUUUCACACCAAUCGUUUGUACUCGCCACAAACGUAAACGCAACUUUUGAAAGAGAUUCAAGUUUGAAAGUAAGAUCACGUGAAAUGAAUGAAAAUCCUUUUUAAUCGUGGAAUUGAUUUGUUGUAUAAAUGAGGAACAACACUUGAUAGAAUUUGUACGAAAUUACAGUAAAUUCUAUGAUUUCAGUCGCACAAAGGGAAAUCGUGGCUCGAAAAUAGUGGAUGGAGAGAAAAAAACUUGGAAAUUUUGAACCGAAUAGCUGAUUCUUCUUCCCAAAGAUUCAUUGGGUAAGUUCAAAAAUGUAUAAAAAAAAUUCAAAGAAUACAAUUUUAAUAAAAUCUGAAUUUACAGUUUUUUGCAUCAACAUCUUCAAUUCUAGAUUGUGACUGAUUUAACUAUUUGUGUCUUUGACCAUCAGUAAGGAUCAACCUUAAUUAUUGCAAUCCUCACAUUGCAGGCCAAUAGUUUUUAUUGCUAACUAUGCCCAGUGGUCAGCAGGUAUAUUUCCAGCAGGUAUGUUUACCAACAACAAUGAAAACCGUGAAGAAUCCGGCCACCGAUGCCGUAACAGAGAACACAGAUAAUUCUCAUGAUUCGUAAGUAAGUGUUAAAAGGACAAAAGAGAGCGCGUUAGGUGAAUUCAUCGAGUGAAAAGAAAAAGAAGAAGAAGAAAAAAAGAAAUGGAAUAGAAAGGAGAAGAGGAGGACCGGUCGACUCGAUCGUUCGUCUCGACCGCACGCCAACUUCCUGCUGUCAAUCGUUGAAAUAUGGCCGAUGCGGACCGACCAGUUUGGUUCAUUUCAAAACUUCCCAUCGACGACCGCAAAUAAACCAAGCCACGGAUCCCUCUUUGAUGUUUUGCGAAAAUAAAGCGGACGUUUCCUCUCAUUCGAAUCGAGCAACAUUGUAACGAAGACUAUUGUGAUUAUUCGUAAACUAUUCGACCGAGUUCGACGAUCACCGCGGUGAUUUGAAAAAGAGAAAAGGAAUAUAUAUAUAUAUAUGUGUAAUGUAUAACGGGGUGGAGGAAGACAAGAAUUGCGCGGCACGUCGAAAGAAAUUACGAGAGGCAGAGGAGGGGUCGAAAAAUCCGUUGUUGGUAUGGAAGCAUCGGUUUCUUCGGGGAUCCGGAUUUAGCCACGGAACGCCACGAAAUGCCAAUAAGAGGAUACUUUGGUCGUUGUCGGAAUGAAUGCUCGUCACGAACGAGCCAAAGGAUGGGCGACUUCCAAAUUUUGCGAAGAAGUAAAAAAAAGUGGCCGGAGAAGGGCUCGGCGAAGGCGCUUGGCGAAUAGCGAUGGGAUCGAACGUAUCGCGAGUCGAUUUGAACAAGAGUUUGUUGAUAAAGUUAUGAUAUUCCGAGAUUCGAAACUUAUCAUAUAUACAGUCUUUUUCAUUGGAUCUACGAGUAUGCAUUUACCGGCAAAACUAAAUGCACAAUUCAUCCCAUCACUCACAUUGGCGAGGGAGCGAGUGUACGAAAAGGAGGAAGCACUCGGGCAAGGAGGAGACACCAACUCCCUUGACGUCCUUCGUCGGUCGCCACAGUUUGCUGACCCGGUUCGAAAAGAGCAAAAAUCGAUGUCGAUUCGAGGAGGAAGGGAAAGAGCGGUGGCCAAAAUCGACCAACCGGUUGACCACUGCUACGUAUACCCAAAACUCGCUUCGCGGUAAUCUCGUAGACUAUUAAUACCGCCUUUCCGUGCCGCCUUUGAACCGAACGGAACUAAAACUACCGGUACACUGCACGCUCGAUGCAUCCGGUCUGAACGCGUGUAUCGAUCGCAGUUAAGGAUCCAUCGUUCUAUCGAUGCCUACCGUCGAUGAAUUACAAUUAACCGUGGAACGUGUUACGGACUUCCAUUCACUCGUUUAUGGUUACGUGCUACGAUCAAAUUCGCCUGUCUUGGAUUUUUAAUCGAUAAAGAAACAUGGUGUAGUAAUCGAUUCAAAAGAAGGAAAAACAGUCGAGCGUUUAGCGUUGUGCAAAUAUCGCGAAAGAUCUACGAAUUGUUUUCGAAACGCAAGCCACGAUGACUCUGGAAUCGCAGAGACUUUCUGUCGACUCAGCGUCCUUGCGAGAUACCGUUGCCAGAAAUGGACUAAUAAUAUAAAUUAAACACCCACUGACGUUAUUACAUCAGAAUGUGAAAAUAACAAAGAAUGGAGAGGGGGAGGGAUUUUUC
Unclassified non-coding RNA from Apis florea (little honeybee), 6825 nucleotides. The record is from RefSeq and is a predicted model, not a curated record. NCBI's taxonomy places the organism in Eukaryota, Metazoa, Arthropoda, Insecta, Hymenoptera, Apidae.